GGAGAGAUGGCUGAGUGGCCGAUAGCGCCGGCUUGCUAAGCCGGUGUACUCCGCAAGGGGUACCGAGGGUUCGAAUCCCUCUCUCUCCGCCA
Molecule: transfer RNA, 92 nt
Filed under: Planctomycetota bacterium
Lineage: Bacteria; Pseudomonadati; Planctomycetota
Description: Planctomycetes bacterium (bioreactor metagenome) tRNA-Ser
Rfam family: tRNA
About the family: Transfer RNA (tRNA) molecules are approximately 80 nucleotides in length.
Source: RNAcentral